RNAcentral lists this ribosomal RNA (254 nucleotides) under uncultured bacterium. Its description in RNAcentral is "partial 16S ribosomal RNA". It matches the Rfam family "Bacterial small subunit ribosomal RNA", at positions 524 to 776 of the family's 1533-position model. The record is from RNAcentral.
UACGGGGGGAGCAAGCGUUGUUCGGAUUUACUGGGCGUAAAGGGCGCGUAGGCGGUCGUGACAAGUCACUUGUGAAAUCUCCGGGCUUAACUCGGAAAGGUCAACUGAUACUGCGGGGCUAGAGUGCGGAAGGGGCAACUGGAAUUCUCGGUGUAGCGGUGAAAUGCGUAGAUAUCGAGAGGAACACCCGCGGCGAAGGCGGGUUGCUGGGCCGACACUGACGCUGAUGCGCGAAAGCCAGGGGAGCGAACGGG